CGGCGGACGGGUGAGUAACACGUGGAUAACCUACCUAUAAGACUGGGAUAACUUCGGGAAACCGGAGCUAAUACCGGAUAAUAUUUUGAACCGCAUGGUUCAAAAGUGAAAGACGGUCUUGCCGUCACUUAUAGAUGGAUCCGCGCUGCAUUAGCUAGUUGGUAAGGUAACGGCUUACCAAGGCAACGAUGCAUAGCCGACCUGAGAGGGUGAUCGGCCACACUGGAACUGAGACACGGUCCAG
This 244-nucleotide ribosomal RNA is filed under the name uncultured Staphylococcus sp. Its description in RNAcentral is "partial 16S ribosomal RNA". It matches the Rfam family "Bacterial small subunit ribosomal RNA", at positions 96 to 334 of the family's 1533-position model. Lineage: Bacteria; Bacillati; Bacillota; Bacilli; Caryophanales; Staphylococcaceae. The record is from RNAcentral.